RNAcentral lists this ribosomal RNA (422 nucleotides) under uncultured bacterium. Its description in RNAcentral is "bacterial SSU rRNA". It matches the Rfam family "Bacterial small subunit ribosomal RNA", at positions 358 to 772 of the family's 1533-position model. The record is from RNAcentral.
GGAAUAUUGGACAAUGGGGGAAACCCUGAUCCAGCGACGCCGCGUGGGUGAAGAAGGCCUGCGGGUUGUAAAGCCCUUUCGGUGGGGAAGAAAAGCCUCGACCUAAUACGUCGGGGUCUUGACGUAACCCACACAAGAAGCCCCGGCUAACUCUGUGCCCGCAGCCGCGGUAAUACAGAGGGUGCGAGCGUUAAUCGGAAUUACUGGGCGUAAAGCGCACGUAGGCGGCUUUGAAAGUCGGGUGUGAAAUCCCCGGGCUCAACCUGGGAACUGCAUUCGAUACUGCAUUGCUGGAGUAUGGGAGAGGGAAGUGGAAUUUCCGGUGUAGCGGUGAAAUGCGUAGAUAUCGGAAGGAACACCAGUGGCGAAAGCGACUUCCUGGACCAAUACUGACACUGAGGCACGAAAGCGUGGGGAGCAAA